GGGUGCCUACUUGAGUUUAUCUAGAAAAUGAAUAUAAGGAGGAAUCUAGAGGGGGAUUCCAUGUUGCUUCUUUAUGUGAGGAGCUAAUCCUCUUUGAUUGCCCUUUUAAGGGAGUGGAGACUUGCAUCUUGGAGUGAAGGUCUUUGGCUCUUGUUGGCCAACUCUUAGUCUUAGAGAGUUGACAUCCCAAAUUUUAGUGUGGUUAGAAUCUUUUCCAGCAAGCUAGGGAUUGAUUUUGAUUCCUAGAUUUGUUGCUAGAGUCUGGGAGAGAGAAGAUACU
This 280-nucleotide long non-coding RNA is filed under the name Elaeis guineensis (African oil palm). RNAcentral's name for it is "long non-coding RNA (EGUI_LNC066049)". Lineage: Eukaryota; Viridiplantae; Streptophyta; Magnoliopsida; Arecales; Arecaceae. The record is from RNAcentral.